GUCAUUUGGGGAUUUUUUUUCCCAGUUCUGAGAAGAAAUGCUUCUUUUAUUUUACAUAAAUCUCCACUUUUCUACUAGCAAAUACGAAAAGAGGAAGAAGUAAAAGUAGAGACACCAUCUCUCUGUUCUUUACGGCCACCUCUUGUAGGGCUGAGGGGCAGAAACGCCCCGUCACACCCCGGCUGGCUGCCGCAAGGGCCCGAGGGGGGACUGGAGCACCCUGUGCAGAAGGAAGCCCGUGGCUGGUGCUCAGGUGGCCUCGUACUCAGAGAUGGAGGGACCGCGUGCUGGAAUCUACAGUCCCCUCCUCACCGCCUCUGCCCCUGCUGCCCAGCCAGAGGAGACGAAUGCACGUGCAGAAACCCUUCCUGGCCAGCACCCUGCCGCCGGGGUUCCCACGGCCCCAGCCAGCUGCUGAGCGCACAGCACGCCGUCUUCGGUUCCACACCACGUGGACACCGUCACCUCCGCUGGGAUUUAAGCAAGCGAGACUCCAGACGCCACGCCAAGCAAAGAGGAAGUCUGCCUUUUCCAUGCAGGGCCGUGGACGUCCUACUCUCCAAACCCAUCAAGGGCACGGGCCACUCCCGAUAUUUUCGUGCAAACGCAGCCUGUGCAGCCCAUGUCCUGAAAACAAGAGUGCACACUCCCCAAAAGGCACAGGCAACAAGCCGCCUUUCUCAAGGAGAUUCGUCAACAGAAAUGACAUGAAAACAUCAGCUUGGAAUGAUCUGCCCUGGGAAGGGACACAGGCCUCACUUCCCAGGAAGGGGGCAGACAACCAGAGAAGUCAGCUCAGAGAGGACAUCCCUCCUGCCUCGAGAAGCACCAACAGGCAGCACAGAAGGGCCACGGGGAUGUCUCCAUGAGGCCAGCCUCGCACAGGGCUGCCCCGCCGAGAACAAGCAGUAUGUCCCCCACACCCAGUAUCGGGCCCAUUUUGGGUGCGAUUCCGUGUGCCAGAGCAGAGCUCUUCAACAGAAAGCGAGCUUCUGAGAACACAGGGAAGCCGGUGGCCAAGGACUAGAAAGGGGAAGGGAGACCCCACAGAUAUCCGGGGUGCCGGCAUGUCAGGAACCCAGGAUGACACGUACCUGUGUGGAAUAAACGUGGCCACCUGUGCCACCGAGGGUCAAGUCCGGCCCAACCUAAGCCCUAGGUGCCUGCUCCCCUCACAAACGAGCUCGAGGCCCCAUGGCCAGCACGAAGGCAGCUGUGUCCCGCCACAGGGUGGACACUUCCCACUGGACCCUGACAGAGAAGCACAGAAACGGAGGGAGGGCAGGCCCUUGGGAACAGCUAAGGACGUUUGAAGAGGCAAUCGUAUGUCUGUCGAAGCCGACGAAAGACAGGAGCUUGUGUUUUCCGUCUUGCUUCGUUUCAUUUUUAGAGGAACUCAUUUUAUUGCCCUUUUCAAAAGGGGAUAACAAAUAGAAACUAAAAUUUUGAAAACUCUGGUUUUCAUCGCAGGUAGUUGGGGAAGGUACUGAUUGAAGCAGCAGAAAAACUCGGGUAAGAGAAAAGAAAAAUUAACAUGUUAGGUCUGCUCUCUCGGUCUCCCAAAUACAGGAGAGCCUCGCAGGGCACAGUGUUAUUUGUCUGCAGCACCAAGGAUCCAGCUCCACGUUCUUUUGGAUUCUCCGCCUGGAUCUCGGGAAUUGGUUCAGGGUUGGCUACAACGGCCCAGGCAGCAAGGAACGGGAUACAGUGGAAACAAUUCGGUAAAUUGGAAGUUCUCAGUUAACACACGGCUGAAGCGUGAUACCAACUCUUUGGCCACUAGAUGGACAGGUCUAGGUGGCUAAGUAUGAAGUUUGAUUUUACAAAAUGCUUGGUAAGAUCUAAUUGAAAUUUUUAAAAAUUAAAUUUAGAUGUGGCUUUAGUUAAGUUUGAAUCAAAAUUUUGGUAUUAAUUAAAUAUGAUUAAUUUGCAUUUUUCUAUUCUUACAAUAGAAUCCUGAAUAUUUAAAAGAAAUACAUAUUUUAAGACAAAUUUUUUUAAUUUAUUGUUUCUUUAUAUUUAAUUUGUUUUUUGAUGCAAAUUAGACCUUUAAGGGCAAUAGAACAUAAAUAACAGGAAAAUCGUGAUUUUUUAACAACAUAGCUUUUGCAGACUAUGUAAAACUUUAUGAAUUCUGUAUGCCUCCAGUUUCAUAUAAUGUAAAUGUUAACAACCCACCAAGAGGAUACCCAAACAGGCACAAUAAUAAUUGAAUUAAGCUGUCUCUUUUAUUUUUACAAUUUUUAUCAAAUAAACAUAAUUUUAUACAUUU
Leopardus geoffroyi (Geoffroy's cat) is the source of this 2272-nucleotide long non-coding RNA. RefSeq lists it as uncharacterized. NCBI's taxonomy places the organism in Eukaryota, Metazoa, Chordata, Mammalia, Carnivora, Felidae. The record is from RefSeq and is a predicted model, not a curated record. The transcript is spliced from 2 exons.